Gastrolobium bilobum is the source of this 119-nucleotide ribosomal RNA. NCBI's taxonomy places the organism in Eukaryota, Viridiplantae, Streptophyta, Magnoliopsida, Fabales, Fabaceae. The record is from RefSeq and is a predicted model, not a curated record.
AGGUGCGACCACACCAGCACUAAUGCACUGGAUUCCAUCAAAACUCCGCAGUUAAGCGUGCUUGGACGAGAGUAUUACUAGGACGGGUGACCUUAUAGGAAGUCCUCGUGUUGCACCUC